Molecule: small RNA, 67 nt
Filed under: Klebsiella aerogenes
Lineage: Bacteria; Pseudomonadati; Pseudomonadota; Gammaproteobacteria; Enterobacterales; Enterobacteriaceae
Description: rydB RNA
Source: RNAcentral
ACACCCCAUCCGGCGCUUAUCUCCGGCACUCACAAUGGCUUAGCUCUUGAAGGGGUAUAAGAAUACU